GGGGAAUAUUGCACAAUGGGGGAAACCCUGAUGCAGCAACGCCGCGUGAGUGAUGACGGUCUUCGGAUUGUAAAGCUCUGUCUUUGGGGACGAUAAUGACGGUACCCAAGGAGGAAGCCACGGCUAACUACGUGCCAGCAGCCGCGGUAAUACGUAGGUGGCGAGCGUUAUCCGGAAUUAUUGGGCGUAAAGGGAGCGUAGGCGGAUAAUUAAGUGGGAUGUGAAAUACUCAGGCUCAACCUGGGGGCUGCAUUCCAAACUGAUUAUCUAGAGUGCAGGAGAGGAGAGUGGAAUUCCUAGUGUAGCGGUGAAAUGCGUAGAGAUUAGGAAGAACACCAGUGGCGAAGGCGACUCUCUGGACUGUAACUGACGCUGAGGCUCGAAAGCGUGGGGAGCAAAC
RNAcentral lists this ribosomal RNA (400 nucleotides) under uncultured bacterium. Its description in RNAcentral is "bacterial SSU rRNA". It matches the Rfam family "Bacterial small subunit ribosomal RNA", at positions 356 to 773 of the family's 1533-position model. The record is from RNAcentral.